RNAcentral lists this transfer RNA (76 nucleotides) under Povalibacter uvarum. RNAcentral's name for it is "tRNA-Ile". It matches the Rfam family "tRNA". Rfam says of the family: Transfer RNA (tRNA) molecules are approximately 80 nucleotides in length. Their secondary structure includes four short double-helical elements and three loops (D, anti-codon, and T loops). The record is from RNAcentral. Lineage: Bacteria; Pseudomonadati; Pseudomonadota; Gammaproteobacteria; Steroidobacterales; Steroidobacteraceae.
GUCCGCUUAGCUCAGCUGGUAGAGCACUCGACCGAUAAUCGAGAGGUCUCUGGUUCGAACCCAGAAGUGGACACCA